GAUGAACGCUGGCGGCGUACCUAAUACAUGCAAGUCGAGCGAACAGACGAGGAGCUUGCUCCUCUGACGUUAGCGGUGGACGGGUGAGUAACACGUGGAUAACCUACCUAUAAGACUGGGAUAACUUCGGGAAACCGGAGCUAAUACCGGAUAACAUGUUGAACCGCAUGGUUCAACAGUGGAAGACGGUCUUGCUGUCACUUAUAGAUGGAUCCGCGCCGCAUUAGCUAGUUGGUAAGGUAACGGCUUACCAAGGCAACGAUGCGUAGCCGACCUGAGAGGGUGAUCGGCCACACUGGAACUGAGACACGGUCCAGACUCCUACGGGAGGCAGCAGUAGGGAAUCUUCCGAAAUGGGCGAAAGCCUGACGGAGCAACGCCGCGUGAGUGAAGAAGGUCUUCGGAUCGUAAAACUCUGUUAUUAGGGAAGAACAAAUGUGCAAGUAACUUUGCACGUCUUGACGGUACCUAAUCAGAAAGCCACGGCUAACUACGUGCCAGCAGCCGCCGUAA
RNAcentral lists this ribosomal RNA (513 nucleotides) under uncultured bacterium. Its description in RNAcentral is "partial 16S ribosomal RNA". It matches the Rfam family "Bacterial small subunit ribosomal RNA", at positions 28 to 523 of the family's 1533-position model. The record is from RNAcentral.